AGCGUAGACGGCAAGGCAAGUCUGAUGUGAAAGCCCGGGGCUCAACCCCGGGACUGCAUUGGAAACUGUUUAGCUAGAGUGCAGGAGAGGUAAGUGGAAUUCCUAGUGUAGCGGUGAAAUGCGUAGAUAUUAGGAGGAACACCAGUGGCGAAGGCGGCUUACUGGACUGUAACUGACGUUGAGGCUCGAAAGCGUGGGGAGCAAACA
Molecule: ribosomal RNA, 207 nt
Filed under: uncultured Lachnospiraceae bacterium
Lineage: Bacteria; Bacillati; Bacillota; Clostridia; Lachnospirales; Lachnospiraceae
Description: partial 16S ribosomal RNA
Rfam family: Bacterial small subunit ribosomal RNA
Source: RNAcentral